CGCACAGCAUUUCACAGAAUUUACACAGAAUGGUGUGAAAAACAAAAAACGUCCAUUAAGUGCCAGUUCUGUAGGUGGAAAUACCCUGGUGAUCAGAGGAGGAUGGCCACUGUUUUAAGCUGACAGGAUGGCUACAGUAACUCAAAUAAGCACUCAUUACAACCAUGGUGAGUAGAAAAGCAUCUCAGAAUGCAUAACAUUUCAAACCUUUAGGCAGAUGGGCUUCAAUAGCAGAAGACCACAUUGAGAUCCAUUCCUGUCAGCCAAGAACAGGAAUCUGAGGCUCCAGUAGGCACAGACUCGCCAAAACUGGACAGUUGGAUAUUAGAAAUAGGCCAGGCAAUGUUUAUAUAUAUUUGUGUGUAUGUACUCCAAGACCAAACAGAGUUACAAGCUACCCAAUACAGUAGUUGCUAUAGAUCCACAAUUCUGAAGCAUCCAGUCAUAACACAAUGUAGGCACUGGUGUGAUGGAGAGCCACUGAUGUAGACAUGGUGCUGUCUAAUAUCCAUUGUAUGAAUUUCAACACUGAUCUGAGACAGACAGAAAACAAUGGAAUGGCAGCAGGAGUUGACUUGUGAGGUAUCUACUGUGAGUGUUAUUAGUAAUGAAAAUAUCUGUUGAGAUGAAGAAAUAAAGCCUGUGUAGUGUACUAUGAACUGCAUGUUAUGAAAUGUGCAUGCUAGAAAUAUCUGGAAAUUACACCCUUUGAACAUCCUCACAUCAUUAUUUGUGUGACAUGCAGGAUGACAAGUGAUUGCACAAGACUGUCUCUUAGUCUGAGUAGAUGAACAAGAAGUCAGGAGACAACUUGGAUUGGGCAGUGGAAAAUGAAACCAGAGGGUUGUGACCUGACAAACAUCUCAUGUAGUCUCACACACAAGGUAAUAAUAUACUUCCAUCUGCCCUCUGCCAAGAGAGAGAGUGCUGAAGACCAACUGAAUAAAUGAUGCAGCUAUAAUUGUGUGGGUGUUUGUAUGGAUAUCAGAGUUGUGGUUUAUGUGUGUGUACUGAAAAUUUUGUAUGUGUGAACAGUUUGAAAGAAAGAAAUUAUAUUGUACUGGAAAUUACAAAUCCCACCCCAUGUACUGUAUAUGAGUUAAAAUAGGAAUGACACAUUUCAGGACAGGAAAAUACUCUACUUCAGUGUGGAUUAUUUUCAUAUAAGAACACAGCUUGUUUUGUGUUUUAACUUACUUAAUGCAUACUGUGGUUGAGGGAGAAUUCAGUCAACCUCACAUUAAGCCCAUAAAUUCCCAACUUAUUAUUCAGUAGCUAAUUUUAAAUACUAUUCAGUAACUACAGAGAAUUAUUCAGUAACUAGUGACACUAAUAGGAAAGUUGUGUAAUUAAAAGAGUGGGAAAGUUAAGUCUGGACUGCUAACAGGUCUUGGGAUUUUAUGGGGUUAAUCAUGGGUCACACUACUGUUCUUAUGGGAAUUAUCUGAGAUUUCAUCAACACCCCAAAUCCAUCCAUGAAUAAAACAUUGUGACUCGCUUCCCACAUGCUCUCUCCUCUUGUUUUUGGAUGCUACACUGUGAAAUGGCUCUGUGGGGGAAGGAACAGGAACCAAAAGCUCUUGAUGCCUAAUUUAUGAACAGCAUCUACAUUCCAACUGAUUCGGUUUGAUUUGGUUGUAGUCAAUUUCCAGACACAGUGCCUUGGGAUCUCAUCUUGAGAUCCAAAAGAAAUGUGAGAGGUGCACAGAAGGGAAUGAAGUCCUUUGAAUUUGAUGAUUCCAUGUCCCAUGUCAGCCUUUUCUGUGGUCUGUCUUUGAUUACUGCAGCUUGAAGAUGAGUUUCAGAAUGAAGUGUUAUUUGUUAUGUUUGUGAUAUACUGUAAGAAAGGGAUGUUUUCUCUCUGUUGUUAAUACUAUGAGUUACAUAGUGUAAAAUUGUUAUAUUGUUGUAGUUUAAUUUAAUACGUACUGUACUAUUUGUAAUGAUUUUUAUAUUGUAAUUAUUGUUAUAUAAUGGUGAGUGUAAUUUUUAUGCUGUAGGG
Molecule: long non-coding RNA, 2002 nt
Organism: Ictalurus punctatus (channel catfish)
Lineage: Eukaryota; Metazoa; Chordata; Actinopteri; Siluriformes; Ictaluridae
Source: Ensembl